AUAUACAUUUUUUUUUCUUAUUAUUAUUAUUUAUUCACUAUCUUAUCUGUCACAAUUCGUCAAUAUAAUUGUUGGAGUGGAAUCAUCAUAAUAAAUUGUAAUCGGUCCUUAUUGUUGUAUCAUUUGUCCCCUCUCCGGGUUCGGUCGUUAAAAAAAUCUUUUAAACAUUUUUUUCAACCAGUCCAUUGUUUGGUCGUUGAGGUUGUUCGGUUUACUGAGUUUCGGUUGAGAACGGAGUAUUAGCGUUUUUUUUUUUAUUUACAAUUUUCAUUUUUCAUUUUUUUUUCUCGUAAACACCGAAUGAUGACAAUAUAAUCAUGUCCGAUUACUGUUUAGUGCCCACAAUGGAUGAGUCACAUCCCGGGCCGACUGAAACCACAGGCCUGUCAAGGAAAGUUGAGAAAGAAGAGAAAGUUCAUAUCCCUGAAUCGAGCACGACUGGAUUUAGUUUUCGAAAACUAUGGGCAUUUACAGGUCCUGGAUUUUUAAUGAGUAUUGCCUACCUUGAUCCAGGCAAUAUAGAAUCAGACUUACAGUCUGGAACGACUGCCAGGUACAAGUUAUUAUGGGUGUUAAUGAGUGCUACCAUUUUGGGUUUGGUAAUGCAACGUCUGUCAGCUCGCCUCGGUGUGGUUACCGGUCUUCAUUUAGCCGACAUGUGUUAUCGCCAGUACCGAAAAGCUCCAAGACUAUUUGUUUGGCUAAUGAUGGAAGUUGCUAUCAUUGGUUCAGAUAUGCAAGAAGUCAUUGGUACUUCAAUUGCAAUUUAUUUACUGAGUAACAAAAUGAUACCACUUUGGAUAGGAGUGCUGAUCACUGUCAUUGAUACUUUAUCUUUUUUGAUGCUGGACAAGUAUGGACUUCGAAAGUUGGAGCUAGUGUUUGGUCUAUUCAUUGUUAUAAUGGCAUUGUCAUUUGGAUAUGAGUUUGCAAUUGUUCAACCCGAUAUAAAAGAUAUGGCUAAAGGAUUAGUUACUCCUUGGUGUUCAAACUGUCAAGAAUCUGCUCUACUUCAAGCUGUCGGCAUUAUAGGAGCAAUCAUAAUGCCACAUAAUUUAUACUUACAUUCAGGCCUAGUUAAGUCUAGGGAAGUUGACAGAACCAAAAAAGACAAAUUACGAGAAGCCAACUAUUAUUUUUUUAUUGAAUCUACUAUUGCUUUAUUUGUAUCAUUUGUGAUCAACGUGUGUGUUGUAUCAGUUUUUGCUCACGGAUUAUAUGAUAAGACAAAUAGUGAUGUGUUGGAGAUCUGUACCAAAAACAAUAAUACAUACUCAGAUAUUUUCACAAAUGAUACCCAAUUAGUUGAAGUUGAUAUAUAUAAAGGCGGAGUAUUCCUUGGUUGUCAAUUUGGCAUAGGUGCCAUGUAUAUUUGGGCAAUUGGUAUUUUAGCUGCCGGUCAAAGUAGUACAAUGACUGGAUGUUAUGCUGGUCAAUUUGUAAUGGAAGGUUUUUUAAAUCUUCAAUGGAGCCGAUGGAAAAGAGUUGGGUUUACUCGACUGGUUGCUAUAGCACCCACAUUUUAUGUGGCAUUUUUUAGUAAUAUUAAUGACCUGACUGGUAUGAAUGACCUAUUAAAUGCAGUAAUGAGCUUACAACUACCAUUUGCUACACUUCCAGUAAUUGCAUUCACUAGUAAUCCUCGCAUCAUGGGAGAAUUUACCAAUGGAUUGGGAAACAUUUUAAUAACAAUUAUUUUGUCUGCUAUUAUAAUAAGUAUAAACAUAUAUUUUGUAAUCCAUCACACAAUUACUAAUUUCACUUAUAAUUUGCCUUUAAUAAUUGGAGUUAUGGUAUAUAGUACAAUUUAUUUAUUAAUGUGUGCUUAUCUCACACUACAUCUUGUUAUCAGUAUGCUGGAUGAUUGUAGUGUGCUACGUAGAAAUCCAUUUGUUAUUCGAUUUAUUGGUCCACAAAUUGGAAAUACUUUUUCUCAACAUCAACAAACAAAUUCACCUCCAAGCAGCCAAGAUGACAUAACAAAUAUCAAGCUAUAAUAAUGAAUAUGAUGGAAUGUUGUUGCAUGUGUCAAAAGGAUUGCACUUAACACCAUACAACUAGCAAAUUAAAUGAGAAACACAUUGUGGGCAACAUUAUCUAGUUACUAUUAUUGUUAUAUACAUCUGAUGGAAAAAAUAGUGACUAUCUAUUCUAGAUUUUUGUUCGCUGUAAACAAUAUUAUAUAAUAUUUAAUUAUUAUUAAUUUAUUUUCAAAUUGCCUAUAUUUCUAUUUUUAAUUAUUAUAAAUUUUAAAGAGAAAAUAUUUUUUUCUUUAUUAUUUAUCUUAAUUAAUAAUACAAAUUAAAUCUAAUCAAAUGACUAUCGAAUAGUAUACACAGAUUAAAAUAAUCUAAAAUUAUUAUUGUACGUACAUGUAUACAAUUGAAACUAAAUAGUGAUACAAAUCAUCAUUGAUAAUAUAUAAUAUAUAAGUGUGUGCGUGUAAAAUGUUUCUAAAUUUAAACGGAACUUGUUAAAUGUAUUAACAACUGUCAAUGUUUAUCAUUUUUUUCAUUUUUUUUUUCUUAAUAUGUAUUUAUUACAAAGUGUAUAUUUAUUUUAUUUUAUACAAUAAUAAUCAUAAGGUUAUUCAAACUUGGACAAACCUUUAUAAUUAAACAUUAACUUUUCUUUAAGUAAAUAGUUUUCAUAAUAAUUAUUAAUUAUUUUCAUUUUACGUGUAUUCAAUAUUAUUGUUAUUUAUUUGUUUUUGUAACAUAAUCAAUUAUUUUUGUAUACAAGAAAAUGUAUAUCUAACGAAUCAAUAUUUUAUACACAGACAAAAAAAGCAUAUUAAACAUGUGAUAAAAAAAUUGUUAUUGAAAUUGUGUUUUAAUUAGAAAAAUUUAUUAUUUGUUAUAAAUUAAUAUAAAAUACUAGAUAUAUACCUAUAUUUAUUGACAUGUAAAUUAUACUCUUUGCUUCAAUUAUUAAUAUUAUAUGUAUAUAAUUUUAUAUGAAAAAAAUGUAUUUUUGUCUCUCACUUUAUGAUAUAAAAUGUAUACUUAAUUGUAUAUACCUUCUUGGUAAAAUUACAUAUUUAAAAAUAAUUGAUGUUACCCUGCUUAUUACUGUUAUUAUUAUUUUUUAAGAACACAUUUAUACAAAUUUUGUACAAGAUCAUAAUAUUAUGUGCAAUGAAAAUUAUUAACAAUUAUUUUGAACAAUAAAGCAUAAUGUUAAGUAUUAAAAGAAUAGAUACAGUGAAAAGUAAUAUGUAAUAUAUGUAUUAUAUAAGUUAGAACAUAAAUGUUUUAUCUAUAAUUUUGAAUGUACUUAUAUUUUUGAUUUGGCCAUUUACUUAACAAAUAUAUUACAUAAUAUGUAUUGAA
RNA transcript from Rhopalosiphum padi (bird cherry-oat aphid), 3332 nucleotides. It is a transcript of the gene named protein Malvolio, with no coding region annotated. NCBI's taxonomy places the organism in Eukaryota, Metazoa, Arthropoda, Insecta, Hemiptera, Aphididae. The record is from RefSeq and is a predicted model, not a curated record. The transcript is spliced from 14 exons.